UGCAAUCAAUCAUAAGAAAUUAAAUAAAAAUCACAUAUUCAUGCUAAGGCUCAAGGCUUCGCCCUAGCAAUAGAAAUUAGUUCCGCAUAUUCAUAAUUGAAAUCAUAGAAAUAUCUCUUAAGAAAAUGAUUGAAAACACCUUCAAGUAGAAAAUCUUCAAAACCCUAGCACUUCUCUAUUUCUCCAAUAUUGCAUAAAAUAAAGCGUACCCUCAAACUGUAGACGGCCAAGCAAUAUAUUUGCUAAGCCACCACACAAACCCUAGCAAACUAAAAUUAAUAAAAACCCUAAAUAAAAAUAGUAAAAUUCGUCUAAAAUCUGAACAGCCACGUUUUGGCCCAUAAGCUGCUCCAAAACUGGCCCAAUAUAGCUGGAUUUAAUGUUUGGAAUAUUCUGAACACUUUUCCAGAAGGCCAUGAACCCGAGGUCAUCUUGGGCUCCAAAAACGCAAUUUAAGCCCAAAAACGUCAUUUUCCAGCACUGCGCACUGCUUCUUUAUUUCAUCGCCAGAAAAUAACCGCUUGGUGGAAAAAUCCCAAAUUUUGAUACGAUCAAGCUAAGUGACUCACAAACGUCCUCCAACUAGAAUUACUCCAAAAUUCGUCCAUUUGAUCCUGUUUUGCUCCAGAGGAAGUCAAAAGUCCUGUAUUAAAAAUACAAUUCAAAGUAUCAAAAUUCUUCCAAUAUAUUAACCAAAAUAUACUAAGAUUAGGGUAAAAUAUAUA
RNAcentral lists this long non-coding RNA (725 nucleotides) under Malus domestica (apple). RNAcentral describes it as "long non-coding RNA (MDOM_LNC019711)". The record is from RNAcentral. Lineage: Eukaryota; Viridiplantae; Streptophyta; Magnoliopsida; Rosales; Rosaceae.